This 45-nucleotide non-coding RNA is filed under the name Schistosoma haematobium. Lineage: Eukaryota; Metazoa; Platyhelminthes; Trematoda; Strigeidida; Schistosomatidae. The record is from RNAcentral.
AUCCAUCUGACGAGUCUUGAAUAGGAUGAAACGCGCGUACUGAAU